AUGGGCCCUCCCCAUCACGACUCGCGGUGGAGAUUGCAGCGGCGUCUUCGGCGUAGUUCGCUCCCGCGGCUCCUACUCGACGACGUGGUGGACCUUUGCCCUGGGGUGCGGCGCUAUCCGCUGACCCCACUCCUCCAGGUGCGGCCAGCCGUGGCGGAGAUGGAGCAGGCUCUCCCUCCGCCUGGCAGAGUGCAGCCUGCACCCGGCGCUGGCCAGGCCCGAGCCCGUCGCGAGGCUUCCUCCGGCAUGGUUCCUGGAAGCGGAGACGACGGUGCGCCCACAGCAGCGGCCCCUCCCGCGACGAAAGCAGCGGCCCCUCCGGCCGGCGGAGCCCAUCUCGAAUGGCUGUGGCGUAGAAAAUUCCCCAUUGGGAAUUUCAUAUCCGCACAGGAGGAAGAAAGGAAAUCUUAUCCUUUCAACCAUUUCUGGAUUUAG
Molecule: ribosomal RNA, 435 nt
Filed under: Triticum aestivum (bread wheat)
Lineage: Eukaryota; Viridiplantae; Streptophyta; Magnoliopsida; Poales; Poaceae
Description: partial small subunit ribosomal RNA
Source: RNAcentral